This 460-nucleotide ribosomal RNA is filed under the name uncultured bacterium. Its description in RNAcentral is "partial 16S ribosomal RNA". It matches the Rfam family "Bacterial small subunit ribosomal RNA", at positions 338 to 795 of the family's 1533-position model. The record is from RNAcentral.
CCUACGGGUGGCAGAAGUGAGGAAUAUUGGUCAAUGGGCGAGAGCCUGAACCAGCCAAGUCGCGUGAAGGAUGACGGCCCUACGGGUUGUAAACUUCUUUUGUCAGGGAGCAAUCUAGUCCACGCGUGUUCUUAUCGAGAGUACCUGAAGAAAAAGCAUCGGCUAACUCCGUGCAAGCAGCCGCGGUAAUCCGGAGGAUGCGGGGGUUAUCCGGUUUUAUUGGGUUUAAGGGGUGCGUAGGCGGACUAUCAAGUCGGCGGUAAAAAUUCGGGGUUCAACCCGGUCGUGCCGUUGAAACUGAUGGGCUUGAGAGGGGGAGAAGUAGGCGGAAUGCGUGGUGUAGCGGUGAAAUGCAUAGAGAUCACGCAGAACUCCGAUUGCGAAGGCAGCAUACCGGGGCACAACUGACGCUGAAGCACGAAAGCGUGGGUAUCGAACAGGAUUAGAUACCCCAGUAGUC